UAUUUUAUAUGUUAAAGCAUACGAUACUUAAUAUCAUACAGUAAUUCAUAAUUGACUAAAUGCUUCAUUUCCUACAAAACAAACAACUACAGCAUUAGCCUGGAAAUCCAGUCUGACAAUUUCCAACUUUUUUCUACCCACGGUGAGGAUGGUACGCCGGAUAUUGCCAUUUAGUGAUAAGGUAUUUUCCGAAAACGUGUAUAUUUUUCGUCAGCAAGAUUCAACUUUUUUAUGUGUGUUAAUGGCUCGACGAACGAAUUGUAUGUCAUUUUGUUGAACACCACCCAAAUGACAAGCAUAUUAUAGUAUGCAAACGACCAAAACCACAAGAAAGUAAUUUACAAGAUAGCACCAGACAUAUGCGGAGAAAAAAAAAUAGAAAAAAAUGUGUUGCUUCAGAAAAUAUGAAAAUACAUGUUUCAAAAAGGAACCAGCUUACAAAAGGGACCACUUUGCAACAGAAAGAAACCUUUGACUUGGGCAAAUGGUGAGGAGCCUGUUCACUGACGGCAGUUGAAAUGUAUGCUACCUACCACGCCAUCUAGCAGAACUCAACAUUUACAUAAUGCUACCAGUACUAAAAUAUAAUCUAGAAACACAUACAUGGCGGUGUACAUGGAACAUUCAAUGUUACACAGAGUGCAAUUCCAUGGACAGACAAGAUUUUCGGAGAGUAUUGUUAUACAGUCUUUGAAAAAAUAUGACAAAAUAGAUGGAUGAAUAAAUAACCUUUAAUCAGUUUGUUUGCCAAGAAACGUUUUCUUUAACUGAUAUAGUUUCAUAUAGUUCUUGACGUCGCAAAAAGUUUUCAUCGACAACUUGGUUAAUAUGAAGUAUAGUGAAGACUGAAAGUUGUUUAGAAGAACAGGCUUAUAACUCUUCCGGUGAUUUUACAAUUAUACAACUGCUUGCAUAACAGAGACCGCAUUUCUGACGCUAAAUUAAGAGGAAAGAGAAAAGCAAGACAGACGAAUACGUAUUAACAUGAAAAGAAACAGCAAUUUACUGCAUAAAUGUGAUAAGAGUACAUUACUCCCACAUAAGACUGGGCAUCGAUACUGAAAUAGGUUCUGUUGUGACAGAUUUAUUUUACCAAACAUUAUUUGACAAGUGAUAUUGUAAAAGCCAUGUUUUACUUUGAUAAACAACAAACAGUCAUGUACAUUGAAAUAUUUAUUAAACAAACUUGAAAUGUAAACACAAAUUCAUAAAAUAGCAAAGAUCAUAAUAAGAUAGUAGAAGAACUCUUUAAGGUUUCUUUCGUUCUAAUCCUUUCCACCAACUGUACUUGUAAUGUUAGUAUAUAAAUAUAGUUAUAUAUAUUGUUGGGAAUAGAUAUGUUUAAACCAAAGAUCAUAAACAUUUUACAUUCAACAACUUGAAUGCAUGAAAGACAUCGGAAUGAUCUUCAAGUCAGUUCCUGAUCGUUUGUUAUAGUUCAAAGUUGACCUUGACAAUAAAUACUAGUAUCCUA
Mercenaria mercenaria is the source of this 1474-nucleotide long non-coding RNA. RefSeq lists it as uncharacterized. The transcript is spliced from 2 exons. NCBI's taxonomy places the organism in Eukaryota, Metazoa, Mollusca, Bivalvia, Venerida, Veneridae. The record is from RefSeq and is a predicted model, not a curated record.